Molecule: ribosomal RNA, 550 nt
Filed under: uncultured bacterium
Lineage: Bacteria
Description: bacterial SSU rRNA
Rfam family: Bacterial small subunit ribosomal RNA
Source: RNAcentral
CCUACGGGAGGCAGCAGUGGGGAAUUUUGGACAAUGGGCGAAAGCCUGAUCCAGCCAUUCCGCGUGAGUGAAGAAGGCCUUCGGGUUGUAAAGCUCUUUCGCAAGGGAAGAAAACUUAGAUACUAAUAUUAUCUGAGGUUGACGGUACCUUGAUAAGAAGCACCGGCUAACUACGUGCCAGCAGCCGCGGUAAUACGUAGGGUGCGAGCGUUAAUCGGAAUUACUGGGCGUAAAGCGUGCGCAGGCGGUUUUGUAAGUCAGAUGUGAAAUCCCCGAGCUCAACUUGGGAACUGCGUUUGAAACUACAAGACUAGAAUAUGUCAGAGGGGGGUAGAAUUCCACGUGUAGCAGUGAAAUGCGUAGAGAUGUGGAGGAAUACCAAUGGCGAAGGCAGCCCCCUGGGAUAAUAUUGACGCUCAUGCACGAAAGCGUGGGGAGCAAACAGGAUUUAGAUACCCUGGUAGUCCCACGACCUAACCGACUAGUCUACUAGUUAGUUGGUUGGUAGUAAAUACUACUGUAGUAACGACAGCUAACGACGUGAAGUAAG